Molecule: ribosomal RNA, 2914 nt
Filed under: Pseudomonas asturiensis
Lineage: Bacteria; Pseudomonadati; Pseudomonadota; Gammaproteobacteria; Pseudomonadales; Pseudomonadaceae
Description: 23S ribosomal RNA
Rfam family: Bacterial large subunit ribosomal RNA
Source: RNAcentral
GUUAUAUGGUCAAGUGAAGAAGCGCAUACGGUGGAUGCCUUGGCAGUCAGAGGCGAUGAAAGACGUGGUAGCCUGCGAAAAGCUUCGGGGAGUCGGCAAACAGACUGUGAUCCGGAGAUGUCUGAAUGGGGGAACCCAGCUGUCAUAAGACAGUUACCUUACACUGAAUACAUAGGUGUAUGGAGCGAACCAGGGGAACUGAAACAUCUAAGUACCCUGAGGAAAAGAAAUCAACCGAGAUUCCCUUAGUAGUGGCGAGCGAACGGGGACCAGCCCUUAAGUUGUAUUGAGAUUAGCGGAACGCUCUGGAAAGUGCGGCCAUAGUGGGUGAUAGCCCUGUACGCGAAAAUCUCUUUGCAAUGAAAUCGAGUAGGACGGGGCACGAGAAACCUUGUCUGAAUAUGGGGGGACCAUCCUCCAAGGCUAAAUACUACUGACUGACCGAUAGUGAACCAGUACCGUGAGGGAAAGGCGAAAAGAACCGCGGAGAGCGGAGUGAAAUAGAUCCUGAAACCGUAUGCGUACAAGCAGUGGGAGCCCACUUUGUUGGGUGACUGCGUACCUUUUGUAUAAUGGGUCAGCGACUUAUUUUCAGUGGCAAGCUUAACCGAAUAGGGGAGGCGUAGCGAAAGCGAGUCUUAAUAGGGCGUCAAGUCGCUGGGAAUAGACCCGAAACCGGGCGAUCUAUCCAUGGGCAGGUUGAAGGUUAGGUAACACUGACUGGAGGACCGAACCGACUACCGUUGAAAAGUUAGCGGAUGACCUGUGGAUCGGAGUGAAAGGCUAAUCAAGCUCGGAGAUAGCUGGUUCUCCUCGAAAGCUAUUUAGGUAGCGCCUCAUGUAUCACUGUAGGGGGUAGAGCACUGUUUCGGCUAGGGGGUCAUCCCGACUUACCAAACCGAUGCAAACUCCGAAUACCUACAAGUGCCGAGCAUGGGAGACACACGGCGGGUGCUAACGUCCGUCGUGAAAAGGGAAACAACCCAGACCGUCAGCUAAGGUCCCAAAAUCCUGGUUAAGUGGGAAACGAUGUGGGAAGGCUUAGACAGCUAGGAGGUUGGCUUAGAAGCAGCCACCCUUUAAAGAAAGCGUAAUAGCUCACUAGUCGAGUCGGCCUGCGCGGAAGAUGUAACGGGGCUCAAACCAGGUACCGAAGCUACGGGUAUCAUCUUAGGAUGAUGCGGUAGAGGAGCGUUCUGUAAGCCUGUGAAGGUGAGUUGAGAAGCUUGCUGGAGGUAUCAGAAGUGCGAAUGCUGACAUGAGUAACGACAAUGGGUGUGAAAAACACCCACGCCGAAAGACCAAGGUUUCCUGCGCAACGUUAAUCGACGCAGGGUUAGUCGGUCCCUAAGGCGAGGCUGAAAAGCGUAGUCGAUGGAAAACAGGUUAAUAUUCCUGUACUUCUGGUUAUUGCGAUGGAGGGACGGAGAAGGCUAGGCCAGCCUGGCGUUGGUUGUCCAGGUUUAAGGUGGUAGGCUGGAAUCUUAGGUAAAUCCGGGAUUCUAAGGCCGAGAGCUGAUGACGAGUGUCCUUUAGGACACGAAGUGGUUGAUGCCAUGCUUCCAAGAAAAGCUUCUAAGCUUCAGGUAACCAGGAACCGUACCCCAAACCGACACAGGUGGUUGGGUAGAGAAUACCAAGGCGCUUGAGAGAACUCGGGUGAAGGAACUAGGCAAAAUGGCACCGUAACUUCGGGAGAAGGUGCGCCGGUGAGGGUGAAGCAUUUACUGCGUAAGCCCACGCCGGUCGAAGAUACCAGGCCGCUGCGACUGUUUAUUAAAAACACAGCACUCUGCAAACACGAAAGUGGACGUAUAGGGUGUGACGCCUGCCCGGUGCCGGAAGGUUAAUUGAUGGGGUUAGCGCAAGCGAAGCUCUUGAUCGAAGCCCCGGUAAACGGCGGCCGUAACUAUAACGGUCCUAAGGUAGCGAAAUUCCUUGUCGGGUAAGUUCCGACCUGCACGAAUGGCGUAACGAUGGCGGCGCUGUCUCCACCCGAGACUCAGUGAAAUUGAAAUCGCUGUGAAGAUGCAGUGUAUCCGCGGCUAGACGGAAAGACCCCGUGAACCUUUACUAUAGCUUUGCACUGGACUUUGAAUUUGCUUGUGUAGGAUAGGUGGGAGGCUUUGAAGCGUGGACGCCAGUCUGCGUGGAGCCAACCUUGAAAUACCACCCUGGCAACUUUGAGGUUCUAACUCAGGUCCGUUAUCCGGAUCGAGGACAGUGUAUGGUGGGUAGUUUGACUGGGGCGGUCUCCUCCUAAAGAGUAACGGAGGAGUACGAAGGUGCGCUCAGACCGGUCGGAAAUCGGUCGUAGAGUAUAAAGGCAAAAGCGCGCUUGACUGCGAGACAGACACGUCGAGCAGGUACGAAAGUAGGUCUUAGUGAUCCGGUGGUUCUGUAUGGAAGGGCCAUCGCUCAACGGAUAAAAGGUACUCCGGGGAUAACAGGCUGAUACCGCCCAAGAGUUCAUAUCGACGGCGGUGUUUGGCACCUCGAUGUCGGCUCAUCACAUCCUGGGGCUGAAGCCGGUCCCAAGGGUAUGGCUGUUCGCCAUUUAAAGUGGUACGCGAGCUGGGUUUAGAACGUCGUGAGACAGUUCGGUCCCUAUCUGCCGUGGACGUUUGAGAUUUGAGAGGGGCUGCUCCUAGUACGAGAGGACCGGAGUGGACGAACCUCUGGUGUUCCGGUUGUCACGCCAGUGGCAUUGCCGGGUAGCUAUGUUCGGAAAAGAUAACCGCUGAAAGCAUCUAAGCGGGAAACUUGCCUCAAGAUGAGAUCUCACUGGAACCUUGAGUUCCCUGAAGGGCCGUCGAAGACUACGACGUUGAUAGGUUGGGUGUGUAAGCGCUGUGAGGCGUUGAGCUAACCAAUACUAAUUGCCCGUGAGGCUUGACCAUAUAACACCCAAGCA